Molecule: transfer RNA, 69 nt
Filed under: Pantodon buchholzi (freshwater butterflyfish)
Lineage: Eukaryota; Metazoa; Chordata; Actinopteri; Osteoglossiformes; Pantodontidae
Description: tRNA-Gly
Rfam family: tRNA
About the family: Transfer RNA (tRNA) molecules are approximately 80 nucleotides in length. Their secondary structure includes four short double-helical elements and three loops (D, anti-codon, and T loops).
Source: RNAcentral
AUCUUUCUAGUAAAAUAAGUACAAAUGACUUCCAAUUAUUUAAUCUUGGUUAAAGUCCAAGGAAAGAUA